Molecule: ribosomal RNA, 301 nt
Filed under: uncultured bacterium
Lineage: Bacteria
Description: partial 16S ribosomal RNA
Rfam family: Bacterial small subunit ribosomal RNA
Source: RNAcentral
CAGUCGCCGCGGGAAUACGUAGGGUCCGAGCGUUGUCCGGAAUUACUGGGCGUAAAGAGCUCGUAGGUGGUUUGUCGCGUUGUUCGUGAAAACUCACAGCUCAACUGUGGGCGUGCGGGCGAUACGGGCAGACUAGAGUACUGCAGGGGAGACUGGAAUUCCUGGUGUAGCGGUGGAAUGCGCAGAUAUCAGGAGGAACACCGGUGGCGAAGGCGGGUCUCUGGGCAGUAACUGACGCUGAGGAGCGAAAGCGUGGGGAGCGAACAGGAUUAGAUACCCGUGUAGUCCCUGUCUCUUAUAC